Molecule: ribosomal RNA, 235 nt
Filed under: uncultured Staphylococcus sp.
Lineage: Bacteria; Bacillati; Bacillota; Bacilli; Caryophanales; Staphylococcaceae
Description: partial 16S ribosomal RNA
Rfam family: Bacterial small subunit ribosomal RNA
Source: RNAcentral
GGUGAGUAACACGUGGAUAACCUACCUAUAAGACUGGGAUAACUUCGGGAAACCGGAGCUAAUACCGGAUAAUAUUUUGAACCGCAUGGUUCAAAAGUGAAAGACGGUCUUGCUGUCACUUAUAGAUGGAUUCGCGCUGCAUUAGCUAGUUGGUAAGGUAACGGCUUACCAAGGCAACGAUGCAUAGCCGACCUGAGAGGGCGAUCGGCCACACUGGAACUGAGACACGGUCCAG